UCUCUUGGAUCCGCCGGCGUCGUUGUUCCAGAGUUGACGAGGGACGACAGAUAGUUUCUGCCGACAGCGGCCAGCCCGUUGGAGCUGCCCUUCCCCGGAGUCCGACUCGUUCUCCUCCCUCUCGUUUUAUCACUCCAUGGGAGUGGGGAUUUGCUUAAGUUUAAGCAGAAGCUUGAAUGAUCUCUCUCUUGUUGUUGGCGUGUGAAGAAGUGAAUGGAAUUGCUUGGCUGAUGAUUUUAAAAGAUGGGAGUUGUUGGCUUAUACUACAAGGAAGUCAAAAUGUGUCUGCCUCUUUUAGAGAAGGUGUAGUCAUCGGUUGCGGCUGAGGUGGUUGGAGGACUUGGGCGGCUGGAGCAUGCUAAGGAAUAGGGUAGGGAGAAGGGGAUUGGUGGAGUUGGGGGGCUGUGGCAGAGCUAUUGCUGCUUCACACACGCACGCCUCCUCUCUCUUUUCUUUCUUCUCUUAUUUCCUCCCUAUUUCCUUUCUUUGUAGUCAACAUUCUCAUGCUUAGGUAGAUAUUAGUAUUGUAAUAGCUAGGUUGGUUGUGGUGCAAAUAAAUAAAAUCCCUUUGGCUUCAAAA
Salvia miltiorrhiza (redroot sage) is the source of this 580-nucleotide long non-coding RNA. RefSeq lists it as uncharacterized. The transcript has 2 exons. The record is from RefSeq and is a predicted model, not a curated record. Lineage: Eukaryota; Viridiplantae; Streptophyta; Magnoliopsida; Lamiales; Lamiaceae.